Long non-coding RNA from Equus caballus (horse), 3955 nucleotides. The record is from Ensembl. Lineage: Eukaryota; Metazoa; Chordata; Mammalia; Perissodactyla; Equidae.
CUCCUGUGAGCCACAUAUGCCGUGGCAGGGAGCCAGGCUCAAGAUGUCUUGAUGGUACCAUGUUGGCCACUUGUGGAGUAUCCUGAGGAACAGGAUCAAAAGGAAGGUCCUAUGAGGGCGUCAGAGAGUAGGCAGCCCACAUCCAGAAGAUUCGUCACGCAGAGACCCCCAUGAAAGCCGGAACGAAGUUCCACUCACUGAUGGCAUUGAUGGCUGCUUUACAACAGCAUAUGGAGUAUGACAUCUGACCUGACACCUAGCGCCCCAAAAAGGACAGGACAGGGGGCAGGGCACCUGCUGCUUCAGGGCAAAGCAGCAGGUGAGGGGGAAGAGGAAGGAAGAGUGCCAGCCAGACCCCGCUCCCCAUCCUUCCCUCCUGUGGGGUUUCUAGCUUGGGUCAGGCUGAGACAAGGAGAGGGAAGCAGACUGGAGCUGGCCGUGAGGCUGAAUUUUAUAGAAACAGCGCUGGACGUUUUCACACCUGAAAAUUACUCUUAAUUACAAAAGUUAACAGGAGAGCAAAGCCAUCUGUCUGAGAUGCUGAUAAGAGAAGGAAGGUGCAAUGGAGUUUGAAGGCCAUAGUAGAUGAAGACUCCUUUGUAAAUUGAUGACACCUUGGUCCCACUCCUCCAUCUUUGUGUCUGGAAUGUCCCACCCAAUACAGGAUCCUUUCUUUCCGCUGGAUAUGCGUUUUCCAGUCAAGCACCAUCCCUUUGGGAGCCGUCCCUCCCAGCAUCACAGGAGCUUGUUCCUGUGUUCCCGAUGGGGUUCACCUGGCCUCCCAGGGGUGGGCUCAUCUCCUGAGCUUGACCAAUCGGAGGACUCCACCCCCCUGACCUACCAAGAAAGAGUUGCCCCCAACUGUGUUUUGUUAGAUUCUGUAUUUGCCUAUUUGGCAUCCAUCCAUCACAGGGCCAACUAUAUUAACUAUAUUUGCUUAUUUUCUGUAUUCUUGAUGCUCUACCCUUUGUGGCCUCGCUGACUGGGGAGAGACAGGGCCAGCUAAUUCCUAGUGAUGGUAAAUAACUUGCUUGCAGACACGCCUUGCACAUGCAUCCAAGCAGUCCAAGCCCAUACUCAACCGCCCCCUUCACCUAACUCCCUCCCACCACACCUGGAAUCACCCAGGGCGGACGCCAGAAAUCCAGGCACAGCCCGACACCCCAGAGCCACCGGGAUUAUUCCCACUAGCCAGUGCCCAGCUGUCACCCUGCCCCACCUCGCCUGUGCCCUGGAAACCCACGAAGGCUCUGGCUAGACUUCCCCUCCCUUUGCUGCUUCUGCCUCCUGAUGGAAAUUGGUGCUUCCCUGCGCGGCAGGACACGCCCCUCCUCUCAGGAGCUGGAAUGUGAAAUGGUGAGGAUGUGGUCCAGGCCGAUCUUGGUGAUGGAGGCGCCUCUCCUCGGACCAGCCUGUGCUGAGAAGUCUUUCCCUUCACACUCCCCGGCCCUCCACGGCCCCUCUCUCCAACUCACUUCAUUGGCACCAAGCUUGUGCCACACAUGGGUCCUUCUCUCUCAAGGAGCUAGUCUUACCUGAGCAAGGGACCAAGGUCGCUGGUCCAGGCAGUCUUGCUCAGUGGUUAAGGGCGUGGACACCCACACUGAGUCCUAAUCCUGUCUCUACCUCCUGCUUGCUUGGUAGUCUUGAAAAUGGAGCUUCAACUCCACAAGCCUCGGUCCACUUGUAAACGAAGUGGAGACGGCAGCAUCUGCCUCAAUGUUUGCUGCAACAUUGCAUGUUGUAUCUGAGACACUGUGAGCGCUCGUAAAGGGUGAGUGACAGUGGUAAGGACUGUCAUCUUCGUCAUUUUCUCCUCCAUCCUCGCCCUCCUCAUCCUCAGGCGCUGUCCUGCCAUCUCCGUCUCUACAGGCUCUCACCAAACAGAGCCCGUCGCAGAGGGAACUGCUAGUGGUGUCCACGGGGUGAAAUGCAUCCGGUCCCCAAGCCUAGAUCCCUGCAGAGAUGUUGGCCCCAUAGUCACACCACUGACCUGCACGGCACACUUUUUCUCAAAGGCCUAAGAAUUCUAGGUGACUUGGUGAUGUCCGAGUGAUGGGCAUCUGACCAAUGGCAACCUGACGGCGGGAGAACCACCACGGCCGGGCUGGGUCUAAACACUGACUCUUCCCAUUUAUUCCCCAGGUCCUAGGAGACAUUCCAGAGAGGCCAAGGCUGGGAGGCAAAACCCAUUUUGAUCCAUGACAAUAGCAGACAACUGGAAACCUUACUUUAGGGUGGAAGGGUCUUCCAGAUGCCCCUCAAAUCAACAAGGAGUGUUCCAGCAUCGUGGGAGGUCCAUCAGCCCAUAGGGCAAGUCCUUCCAUCCUCGGUGAUAGGGAUGCAACAGCAAUUCCAGCUGACACUUAUUGAACGCUGGCUGCACACAGCUCCACGCACUGUCGUGUACUAACUCGCUUCAUCUCCAUGAGUGACUGCUGCUGUUGUCCCCAUGUUAUUGACGAGAAAGCUUAGGCAGAAGGGAUUACAUCUUUGGGACAACCGAGAAGAGCGGGGCAGAGCCUCGGCCCGGCCAGCCCGCCCUGGAGCCCACGUCUCCGGCCGUUGGACAGCUCCAGCCGUCACAACGUUCUUCACCGUCUUGAAGUAAAAUCUCCUGGAACUUGUGCCCCUCAGUCCUGGUUCUGCAUUUGGGGGUCUCCCUGCUGAAGCCAGCUCCUCUCCAGCAAGAUGGCCCUGCAGGUGGGCGCCUUCAGCUCCAAGUGUCCCCACCCCAGCUCCUCAGCUCCAGACUGAAAAUGCCAUUAACUGUGGCUCGUGGGCCAUGACGUCAGGAGCCCCCUCCACCCUGGACGCCCUUGUCUGAGCUCCCCUGCAUGUGAAGCCCCCUCGACAGGGGCAGCUGAGAGCAGGAGCCCCGAAGAAGCUCUGACAGCAGCAGGGGGAGCACCAUCUCCAACCUUCCUGGAUCUGUGGUCUAGUCAGGAAUUCUUGGCUACACGGUUCUCAACGUCAUGUGCUCCAGAAUCUUCUAGGUCGAAGCUGCAGACCCGCAGACCCCCCAUCUGACACCCAGCAUUAGGAAGAUAUGGUGAACCCAGAACCUGCAUUUGGAAAAAAAGCCACAAGGCGUUUCUAAGUGGAAAAGGUGGAUGUCUCUCAACUCUACCUUGAGAAACCCAGCCUGAGGUCCCAGCACCUCCCUGGCCACCACCCUCAUGUGAGGGUCAACUCAAACCCCCAGUGUCCUCUCUGCAGGCUGGGGGACCCCCGCCUCCAGCCAUGCUCCCACCUCCGGCCUUGGCAGCUGAGGCCCCCAGCCCAGGACCAUCACGGGGCCAUUGGAAAGCCCGGGGCAGAGGGUAUCCGGCUUCCUCAGCAAAAGCACGCUCCCUCUGCCCCAGCCCCCUUCUCCUUAUUUCUUCCUUCACACCACGCUCAUGCCCACCGCAGGGCCUUAGCACCUGCUAGUCUCUUCCCGAGCUCUCCCUGCGGUUGGUGCCUCUCCCCACCUCCUCACUGAGGCCUUGUCUGACCAUUCCACCUGCAGUUGACCCCUCUCCAGCACAUGACUCUGCUCCAUUUUCUCACAGCACUGAAAUGCCCUGCAUGUUGUCUGCCUCCACUAUAAAGGAAGCCCGUGUCUCUUGUUCCUCUCUGUGCCUCAGUUUCCAUAGCUGUAAAAUGGGAAUAAUGUUACCUCACGGGGCUGCUGGGAUGAUCAAAGUCCACAUACACAUAACACUCAGAACAGCACAUGGCACCCUAGGAAGCACCGUUCAAGUAGGGGUUCGUUAUGUGUAUUAAUAUCGUCGUUCAUUGCUUCGUUCCCAGCAUCUGGAACUGUACCUCCCGCACAGAAGGCACCCGAUACAUAUUUUUGAAUGAACAUAGGAAUGGACAGAUGAGCCGAGACACAGAGGGUCUGAGCAGUCCCACCCUGUCUGCCUCCCGAGACCAGGCCACCCCUCCUCACGGGCUGUAAUUACCCGAU